GAAAUGCGAUAAGUAAUGUGAAUUGCAGAAUUCAGUGAAUCAUCGAAUCUUUGAACGCACCUUGCGCCACCCGGUUCCGCCGGGGGGCAUGCCUGUUUGAGUGUCGUGAAAUUCUCAACCCAAGACUUCUUUUGAAGUCUUGGGAUUGGACUUGGAGGUGUUGCCGGUGGCCCACCCCUUUCUAAGGGGUUGGUGGUGUUGGCUCCUCUUGAAUGCAUGAGUAGGGUGUCUCCUCAAUUCGUUGGGGAUCGAGCUCUCGUCCGUUGGUGUGAUAAUUGUCUACGCCACGAGGACACGACUCGAAUGAUGCAAACCUGCUUCCAACUGUCUCCCUCUGAUGAGACAAGCCUUUCCUGAACUCUUGACCUCAAAUCAGGUAGGAUUACCCGCUGAACUUAA
Molecule: unclassified non-coding RNA, 399 nt
Filed under: uncultured Bondarzewiaceae
Lineage: Eukaryota; Fungi; Basidiomycota; Agaricomycetes; Russulales; Bondarzewiaceae
Description: sequence contains ITS1
Rfam family: 5.8S ribosomal RNA (bases 1-106)
Source: RNAcentral